AUUGAACGCUGGCGGCAUGCUUUACACAUGCAAGUCGAGCGGCAGCGCGGGGGCAACCCUGGCGGCGAGCGGCGAACGGGUGAGUAAUGCAUCGGAACGUACCCUGGAGUGGGGGAUAACGCCGCGAAAGCGGCGCUAAUACCGCAUAUGCUCUGAGGAGGAAAGUGGGGGACCGCAAGGCCUCACGCUCUGGGAGCGGCCGAUGUCCGAUUAGCUAGUUGGUGAGGUAAAGGCUUACCAAGGCGACGAUCGGUAGCUGGUCUGAGAGGAUGAUCAGCCACACUGGGGCUGAGACACGGCCCAGACUCCUACGGGAGGCAGCAGUGGGGAAUUUUGGACAAUGGGGGCAACCCUGAUCCAGCCAUGCCGCGUGAGUGAAGAAGGCC
This 386-nucleotide ribosomal RNA is filed under the name uncultured bacterium. RNAcentral's name for it is "bacterial SSU rRNA". It matches the Rfam family "Bacterial small subunit ribosomal RNA", at positions 28 to 416 of the family's 1533-position model. The record is from RNAcentral.